This 1034-nucleotide long non-coding RNA is filed under the name Brassica napus (rape). RNAcentral's name for it is "long non-coding RNA (BNAP_LNC007413)". The record is from RNAcentral. Lineage: Eukaryota; Viridiplantae; Streptophyta; Magnoliopsida; Brassicales; Brassicaceae.
UGGGAGAACAUGAUACAAAUCUUUUCCUUGGUAGAGAGCAUAUCUUUAUUCAACAUACUUGAUUUGUUUUUGACUUCCAAACAUUUUUUAUUCUUGAAACAAUUUUCCAAUUUGACCCCAAAAAAACAAUUUUCCAAAAUCAAUACAUAGAAACUAAAUAAGUUUGAAUGAUCUUUGAACGGUGAGGUGCAUCUAACGUAGAUCUAAACUUUUCCCAAAACCUCAAUUUUCGGUUUCGCAACAAUAGCGGUCCACUGGCCCUACAGUCUCCGGCGAUCUUGUCGAUGCUCAUAGCAGUUUUCCCUUUCUCGAUUUUCGAUCAACAUAAUGAAACAAACAAUACCGGUAUUUUGGAUGGUCUUCUCCUUCUCUCUCAGUGAAUCGGGUGAGUUUUUCUGCUGUAUAGUACCUUUAGGAUGGCUCUGUUUUUUGGUGGCUCAUCGGCGUAAGGUCUACUCUCUCUAUUAAAUGACAACAUGGAGACGCCAUAAGUUGCUUGUUAGUCAUCAUGGGGUGGAUGCUUGUAUCGACGGUUGAUGAGAAGACUAUUGGUGACUUGCAUGUGGGGUGACGAUUCUCCAUGUUUUGUUUCUCUUCGGCCUGGUUUCUUCUCCUCACCGCCUUGGGGGAGGCGAAGUCACAGAUUCUCAGACUGAUGCAGAGGCGGAUCUGUUGCAGAUGACGGCGAUUAUGGUUUCAGAGUCUCAAUUUAGGAACUGGCAUUUGUGGCCGCAAGGACGACUUUGUGGAUAGUGUUAUCUUUGAGGGUGACUGGUGAUAGAGUUGCACCCGAUUUGAAUACCUUGGCCGUGAUGUUUCGGAAAUCUGAUUUGGUGUUCAUAGGGCCGACUCACGGUAUAUAUGGGUAUUUGGGCAAAAAAAACUUCUUACAUGAAUCUAUGGACAACUUUAUUUUUUUUUUAAAUUGAACCCCUUUUUAACAUUAUUUUUGUUAAAAAUUGCUCGGGCCCUGGAGCACACACCCCCUUGUCCCAUGCCCUAAGCCGGUCUGGGUGUUCAUCGGAGAGAACAUC